UCUCCUAUACUCAAAAAUUAAAUAAUAAAAAAAAAACUAAAACUAAACUAAAAGCCUGCUACCUCUAACCCAGCCGCCGCCAUCCUCCACUUCUGCCGCCGCGCCCUCCUCUUCUCUCUCCGCCGCUGUCCUUAGACGAACCCACGUUGGAGGACGGGUCGAAGAGAUCCAUUCCUCCGAGACGAACGACGAACAGAUCCAUCUGCUCGUUCGUUGAAAGCGGCUGCGGGAGAGGAGGAGGCCUCAGCGGCUGAUUAUCUUCUCCGUUGGUUCCUCUAUCUCCUGCUCAGCUCAUUUGGUGAGAAUAAGUUAAAGGAUAGUGAAAUUGAUAUGAAAGACUGGAAAAAGUAAAAUCAUAACUGCCAUGGGGCCGACCAUUCCGAGACUAUAGAAAAAUUUGCUUCUGGAUGUGGAAUAAAUCGUUACUAUUUCAAAAUGCUAUUGUUGAUGGCUACUGCUGCUUCUUCAUCUUCAACGACUCUUGAAUCAAAGAAGUACAACGUAUUCAUUAGUUUCAGAGGUGCAGAUAUUCGAGAUGGAUUUCUGAGCCAUCUUCACCAGUCACUGCUUCAGCACCAAGUCAAUGCUUUUGUGGAUGACAAGCUUGAGAGAGGAAAAGAAAUCACAUCAUCGCUAUUGGAAAUUAUUGAGAAAUCAUAUGUUUCACUUGUCAUUUUCUCCACCAAUUAUGCGGAUUCUCCAUGGUGUUUGGACGAGCUUGUCAAAAUACUUGAAUGCCUACAGAACAAGAAGCAGAUCGUCUUGCCGGUCUUUUACCGUGUGGAUCCAAGUCAUGUUCAAGACCUGACCGGGAGUUACGGAGAUGCAAUUGCUAAGCAUACGCAAGAAUUCAGUCACUGUUUGGAUAAGGUCAAGAAUUGGAGUCAUGCUUUGAUGGAAAUCGCCAACUUAUCAGGCUGGGAUUCACGGAAUACUAAGUCUGAGUCUAAGCUGGUAAAAGAAAUUGUAAGUUAUGUUUUGGAGAAAUUAGACCAUGUAACUCCAAGGGAUUUUUGCAAUGAUGGCCUAGUUGGAAUUGAUUCAUGUAUCAAGGAUGUUCAUUCAUUACUGUGCCUCGAGUCAAAAGACAUUCGAACUAUUGGUAUUUGGGGAAUGGGUGGUAUAGGCAAAACCACUGUUGUUGAUAAGCUCUAUAGUCAAAUCUAUAACAAAUUCCCACAUCGAUGCUUUGUCGCAAAUGUAAGGGAGAAAUUAGAAAACUCUAACAAGGAUAGUCUACAAAGUGAAAUUCUUUCUGCAAUACUAGGCAAAGAGAAUCUAAAUACAGGAAUACCCAUCAUGUUGAACUCCUUUGUCCGGAGAAGGCUCUCCCAAGAAAAAGUUCUUAUCAUUCUUGAUGAUGUGAGUGAUUUGGAUCAAAUAGAAUGCUUAGUAGGAAGUGACGUUAUGUAUGGUUCAGGCAGUAGAAUCAUUAUAACAAGUAGGGAUAAACAAUUGCUCAAGAAUGUGGGUGCUAGAAUAUAUGAAGUUAAGAAACUAAACUACUAUGAAGCUCUUCAUCUCUUUAGCUUGCAUGCCUUUAAAGAAAAUUCUAUAAAGAAAGAAUACAUGGAGUUGUCACGCACGGCGAUUGAUUAUGCUCAAGGCAUUCCAUUAGCUCUUAAAGUACUGGGGUCCAAUUUGUAUGAUAAGAAUAUACAAAUAUGGGAAGAUGAGUUAGAGAAACUCAAAAGUUGUUCUAAUAAAAAAGUUUUAAAAAUUUUAAGAAUAAGUUACGACGGACUAGAUGAGAAAGAAAAGGAUAUAUUUCUUGAUAUCGCGUGUUUUUUUAAAGGACAUGACAAAGAUAACGUGACAAAUAUAUUAAAUGGUUGUGGUUUCUUUGCAAAAUCUGGAAUAAGCCUUCUCAAUGACAAGUGUCUUAUAACAGUUUCAAGUGACAACAAGUUAGGCAUGCACGACUUGUUACAGAAAAUGGGGAAUGACAUUGUUUCAGAAGAGAAAGAACUCGGUAGACAUAGCAGGUUGUGUAAUCCCAAAGAUAUAUAUAAAGUAUUGGCAAGAGAUAUGGGGACUACAAGUGUUGAAGGCAUUUUAUUAGACAUGUCCCAGAUCAGAUAUCUGAAUUUAAGUUCUACAGCUUUUGCAAAGUACUGCAAUCUUAGGAUUCUCAAAUUCUAUGCGAAGAAUUACUUUGAAGAGAACAAAAUUCUUCUUCCUGAAGGCCUUGAAUAUUUUCCUGAUGAGUUGAGAUUUCUCCAGUGGGAUAAAUUUCCUUUAAAAUGUUUGCCACUAAAAUCAUGUCUUGAAAAUCUUGUCGAACUUCACAUGCCCAAAAGCCAAAUCAAGCACCUCUGGACUGAAGAUCAGACACUUCCAAAUUUAAAAGUGAUUGACCUCGAACGCUCUAUGGACCUUGUCCAUAUUCCUGACCUGUCUACAGUCCCAAACCUUGAGGUUUUGUAUUUGCGAUUUUGUACAAGUUUGGUUGAAAUUCCAAUGUCUAUCCAAAAUUUAAGCAAGCUUACUCGAUUGGUUCUCUCAAUGUGUAAAAGUCUUCAUAGUUUACCGAGCUGCCUUCCUUCGAGUAUAAAAUUCCUACAAUUAUCUGGAACUCGAAUAAAGCAAUUGCCUCCGUCAAUUGGAUAUCUCUCUCAUCUGGAUAGUCUUUCAUCCAAACAGUUGGAGAGUAUUCCAUGUAGCAUUGGUCAGCUGACAUGUCUCAGAUCACGCAGAUUGGUCGGAUGCUCAGAUUGGUCUGAUGCUCAAAAUCACUCAGAUCACUCAGCUGACAUAAAUCUGAAAUCACUUACACAUCUUUCUUUGAUGGGCUGUGUGAUUCUGAAUGAAUUGCCAGAGAACUUGGGAAAUUUAGAAUCUCUGGAAGAAUUGGAUAUAGCAGAUAGCGGUAUAAAAAAGUUGCCAUCUUCCAUCAAUCAGUUGAGGCAAUUGAGCUACUUAAAUUGCUCCGGGUGUAAAGGUUUAGUAGUGCCUCCUUUGACAAAUUUGCCUUGUCUAACAACUAUGCAUCUAAGUUGCUGUGGUUUCUUAGAAUUUCCCAACAUCCUUUGCUCUCUUAAGUCGUUGGAAGAAUUAGUUUUAGAUGGAAACGAUUUUGAGAUCAUACCUGCAAGCAUCACGCAGCUUUGUAAUCUAAGAUUACUCAGUGUAGAAGAUUGCAAAAGACUUCACUGUAUACUAGGUCUUCCAUCGUCUUUGAAUGAUUUAUGUGCAAGAAACUGCGUGUCUCUGGUAUCAGCAUCAUCUUCCAUCUUAUCAACAGAACAAUGUUGGUUAUACAUUUCUGAUUUUGGCAAGGGCAUGAAAUUAUAUGAGGCAGCAUGUCAUGAACUUAUGGAUGAUGUAUUGAGUACACAUCAGGACAAUUACGGAGUUCCUGGUCUAUAUAUUGCCGAAAGUGACCUGCUGCAGUGGAUGAGGCAACAGAAUGAUAAUGUACCUUAUUUGUCGUUCGACCUGUGGUCUAUUGACUUGAUCGGUUUCUCUUUUUGUGUUAUUGUAGCAUCUCAAGUAUAUCCGGGUCGUGGAUUAUUCAACAUUGGAUGUACAGCAACUUUUACUAAUGACUUUGGACAUAGCGUUGAUGAAACUUUCUUUCUGUAUGGAGAUGAAAGUCGUGCAAUGGAUUUUCAAUCGGACAAUGUAAUCCUCUGGCGUGAUCCAAUCUUUGAUUCCUGGCUCCGUUUCAGCAACGGCUCUUUACGAUUCUUCCUUAAGUAUUCAACAAAUGAGGCGGUGAUAAGCAAGUGCGGCGUUUAUCCAAUAUUUGGCCGGAUAAAAGCUGACGAUUAUCCAAUAUUCAACUGGCGAAAAGCUGAUGAGAAUGAUGAGAUGGAUAUGGAGGAGGAACCUCCUAGUAAGAAAUUUAAAGAGAGCGAAGAAUUAAAAUGAGACCCAAGUGUUGAAAUGUCCUCAUCUUGCUGAUGUAUUGAUGGUAAACAUAUUAUGUUCACUUUGAUGAUGGUCACUGUCUGUUGGAAGUUGCUUUCCUUUGCGUCUUCUCUAUCUCUUCAUGGAUUUGCUCUCUCAUUAACUCGCCCGGCGUCUAACAGUGAGAGCAGUGGAACAGCAGUGACAGUUCAGGAAGCUAAUGGAAGAAGGGAAAUCGUGGGUGAAGAAAGUUGAAGACCUUGUGUAACUUCUAUCAUUAAUCCACUUUCUAGUUAUUCAGUACUGCUUGAAUUCUCUUUUGCGUGUAUUUCUGUGGUUUCAUAAAUCAGUAACUUUUGUAUGCAAUCAUGGAGAUGGUUUAUAAUAGAUCACAAAUAGGUGUUAAUUGUGUGGUAUUAUUUGGAAAAUAAGAUGAAAAAAAGCUUCACUUUCUUUGUGAAGCUUCCGAAGCUGCAGGGUCAACUUUUUUAGAGUUUUACUUCUUCAUGUAACUUUCUUUCAUUUAAAUUAAAUGAAAAACCCAAGAACUGAAAGAAGAUUACGCUAGUGCUAGUAGGGAUACUAUGAUUACUAGCCAGAUGCAGUUUGAAAUUCUAUUGUAUGGUGUGGAAGUCUUCAUAGUUUAUCAGCAGUACAUGUUGUAUUGAUUUUCUUGUGCAGGACAAUUACGGAGUUCCUGGGCUAUAUAUUGCCAUAAGUGAUUGGCUGCUGAGGAUGAGGCAUCAGAAUGAUAGUGUACCUUGUUCGUCGUUCCAUAUGAGGGCUUGGGACUUGAUUGGUUUCUCUUUUUGUGUUAGUGUAGCAUCUAAAGUAUAUCCUCAUCAUGGAUUAUUCAACAUUGGAUGUACAGCAACUUUUACUAGUGACUUUGGACAUAGCGUUGAUGAAACUUUCUUUCUGUAUGGAGACCAAAGUCGUGAAAUGGAUUUUCAAUCGGACAAUGUAAUCCUUUGGCGUAAUCCAAUCUUUAAUUCCAGGCUCCGUUGCAGCAACGCUUCUUUACGAUUCUUCCUUCAGUAUUCAACCAGUGAGGCGUUGAGUAGCAAGUGCGGCGUCUAUCCAAUAUUCUGCUCUAGUGUUUGAUAUUUUGGUAAAUAACGUUCUGUUUAUAUCUUCUAAUCUAUCAAUAUUUGUGGGAAAUCAUUGGAUGGCUGCGAGUAUAUGUGAGUUUGUAUCUAAACUGUGGUGACCAAUCAAGACUUGAUGGCAUCCUCUCGUCCUGCUAAGAUUGUUUCCUUUCCCGUGGGGGUCUGUAUCAAUUUGAUUACAGCGUUUCAUCAGCUAUAUUUCUUACUAAAGCUCGAGGAGGUACAUGUAUGCUUGCUGCUUCUGAUCCACCAGAAGAUGUUCUUCAUCGAGCUUCAUUCCUCCUCGAAAAUGGCUUUGGCAUCUAUCACAUUUUGAAAAGCAACUGUGAAGAUUUCGCGAUCUAUUAUAAGAUGGGUCUUCUAGUUUUCGCAAGCAUCAGCGUUGGUCGAAGUGGGCAGGCAGCAACCUUAUUAGCCGCUGCCAGUGCUGUCGUAUCUUCACUGCUGCGAUUCUUAACUACCAGCUCCGAUGGACUGGCAGCUGUGGGGUAAUACUAUGUACUCUGUCAGCCGGCUUGUUUUCUGAUAUUGGAAUACAUUGUACCUUAGAAAAAUUCCGGCUAAUGCGGCUAAGGAGCAAUAGUCUUAUUUAACAACAGCAUAUUGUAUGGACUGAUACAAGUACAUGAAUUCAAUUUGACCAUGAAUAUUUAUGGUGCAAUGCAUAAGCUAAAACUUACGGUUUACUCAGACUUUGAAGUUUAAGCUGUGCUUGUGCUUCCUUCUGUUCAUGUUCAAAUUGCAGAAUGUUAUGUCUUAUUGUAAUUAGUUUGUGUAAUGGCUAAAGAUGGCCUUCUCAGACU
RNA transcript from Mercurialis annua (annual mercury), 5764 nucleotides. It is a transcript of the gene named disease resistance protein RPV1-like, with no coding region annotated. The transcript is spliced from 7 exons. The record is from RefSeq and is a predicted model, not a curated record. Lineage: Eukaryota; Viridiplantae; Streptophyta; Magnoliopsida; Malpighiales; Euphorbiaceae.